Small nuclear RNA from Dromiciops gliroides (monito del monte), 109 nucleotides. The record is from RefSeq and is a predicted model, not a curated record. NCBI's taxonomy places the organism in Eukaryota, Metazoa, Chordata, Mammalia, Microbiotheria, Microbiotheriidae.
GUACUCACAUUAGCAGCACAUAUACUAAAAUUGGAAACAAUACAGAGAAGAUUAGCAUGAACCCCUGCACAAGGAUGCUGUGCAAAUUUAUUAUUUUUUUGUCAUUUAA